GCCAGACUCCUACGGGAGGCAGCAGUGGGGAAUAUUGCACAAUGGGGGAAACCCUGAUGCAGCGACGCCGCGUGAGCGAUGAAGUAUUUCGGUAUGUAAAGCUCUCUCAGCAGGGAAGAAGAUGACGGUACCUGACUAAGAAGCCCCGGCUAACUACGUGCCAGCAGCCGCGGUAAUACGUAGGGGGCAAGCGUUAUCCGGAUUUACUGGGUGUAAAGGGAGCGUAGACGGCGAUGCAAGCCAGAUGUGAAAGCCCGGGGCUCAACUCCGGGACUGCUUUUGAAACUGUGUAACUGGAGUGCAGGAGAGGUAAGCGGAAUUCCUGGUGUAGCGGUGAAAUGCGUAGAUAUCAGGAGGAACACCAGUGGCGAAGGCGGCUUACUGGACUGUAACUGACGUUGAGGCUCGAAAGCGUGGGGAGCAAACAGGAUUAGAUACCCGUGUA
RNAcentral lists this ribosomal RNA (445 nucleotides) under uncultured bacterium. RNAcentral's name for it is "bacterial SSU rRNA". It matches the Rfam family "Bacterial small subunit ribosomal RNA", at positions 330 to 792 of the family's 1533-position model. The record is from RNAcentral.